UAGCCAUUUGCUCAGUUGGUAGAGCAUCUGACUUUUAAUCAGAGGGUCAGAGGUUCGAAUCCUCUAUGGCUCACCA
RNAcentral lists this transfer RNA (76 nucleotides) under Staphylococcus aureus. Its description in RNAcentral is "tRNA-Lys". It matches the Rfam family "tRNA". From Rfam's summary of the family: Transfer RNA (tRNA) molecules are approximately 80 nucleotides in length. Their secondary structure includes four short double-helical elements and three loops (D, anti-codon, and T loops). Further hydrogen bonds mediate the characteristic L-shaped molecular structure. tRNAs have two regions of fundamental functional importance: the anti-codon, which is responsible for specific mRNA codon recognition, and the 3' end, to which the tRNAs corresponding amino acid is attached (by aminoacyl-tRNA synthetases). tRNAs cope with the degeneracy of the genetic code in two manners: having more than one tRNA (with a specific anti-codon) for a particular amino acid; and 'wobble' base-pairing, i.e. permitting non-standard base-pairing at the 3rd anti-codon position. The record is from RNAcentral. Lineage: Bacteria; Bacillati; Bacillota; Bacilli; Caryophanales; Staphylococcaceae.